RNAcentral lists this ribosomal RNA (170 nucleotides) under Staphylococcus aureus. Its description in RNAcentral is "partial 23S ribosomal RNA". It matches the Rfam family "Bacterial large subunit ribosomal RNA", at positions 2753 to 2925 of the family's 2925-position model. Lineage: Bacteria; Bacillati; Bacillota; Bacilli; Caryophanales; Staphylococcaceae. The record is from RNAcentral.
GUGUGGACGGGAUAAGUGCUGAAAGCAUCUAAGCAUGAAGCCCCCCUCAAGAUGAGAUUUCCCAACUUCGGUUAUAAGAUCCCUCAAAGAUGAUGAGGUUAAUAGGUUCGAGGUGGAAGCAUGGUGACAUGUGGAGCUGACGAAUACUAAUCGAUCGAAGACUUAAUCAA